UAAAUAAAUAAAUAAUAAAUUAUAAACUUACCAAAAACUAUUGGAACCGAAGUCGAUUCCAGCUCGGUUAACCGAUGGCUACUACUAAGCGGAGAGUCGGAAAGAAUACUGAGCCUUCCCUCCACAGGGUAUGUAAAAAAUACGGUAGGUUAGGUCACCGGGUCGGGAAGAAAGAAACCUACCUGCCAGAUGGGACACCUGUCCUUCUCCCUGUUGUUGUCGCCUGGCGUGUGCCGAGUUACACUAAAGCCCGGGGGUGGCCAUCAGUAAACAUCCGAUAACAUAACAACCGGCUAAGGUGACCUAAGUCUGGAGAAGGACGCGGUGGACAAACAACUGGCCUAGAUAGCGUAAGGAUGUCGAAACCGGCCUAUGACUACUUUGUUACGUUGCGCAGAGGGACGUAAGGUAGACAGGAAAGGCGCCUUUCCGUUGGAAGCUUACGUCUUUCUGUUGGAAUAUUUUGAAUCCUAUCAUAGUUACAACGAUAGAAGCGAAUAUUUUGAAUCCUCUCAUAGUCACAAUGAUAGAAGCGAAUAUUUUAAUAAGUAGAAACAAACAAUCGUCUUUUCUAUGGACC
This 580-nucleotide long non-coding RNA is filed under the name Androctonus crassicauda. The record is from RNAcentral. Lineage: Eukaryota; Metazoa; Arthropoda; Arachnida; Scorpiones; Buthidae.